AAAGGAUAAACAAGUCGAAUCAAGAAACAAGUCCGCAACUAUUACAUCACCGUAUAGCACAGUUUAAUAAUCAAGAGAAUCAAAUCUAAGCUGUUUUCAACACAACAGCGUCGUACAACGCCACUACCACAAGCCAAACUCUGUUUCUCACCCUUCCUUGUCGUCGUGAUGCUAUGUUGGAGCUCGUGGGCGCGGAAGACAAAGCUGUACAGCUAGUGUUGUUGAUACGUAGACGUCAGCUGUGGAUUCGUCGAUGGCCGCGGACGGAGCGUCACCCAAAUCUUGCGCGGCGCCGUGGCAGUCUUCGGCCUGUGUCACGGACUCGUGGCCUCCUGCGCGCGACCGCGCGUGCAGCAGAAGUUUGGGCGCGGGACGGCAGGGUCUGGGCGCGGGACGGCAGGGUCUGGGCGCCAGCCGCGCGGGGUCCGGCCGUCCGGGGCUCCGGGGUUCGGGCGCAGGAGGCUGGGGCCUGGGGGUGGCCGGCCGGCGGCGGCUAGGAAGGAAAGGGGAUGAGGGACUGAGGAACGGAUGAUGGAUGGAGUGAGUCUAGGGUUUGGAAUUUCUCAGCUGGUUAUUAUAACCUCUCGUAUUGGGCCUCGUUUUGAUGGGCUGCUAGGCCGAAUUAUGAACUCCUGCUGAAAUUAGUCGGGGAUGCAGGGAGACGGGGACGGGGACGGGGACGGUGAAUCAUCCCAUUUAAUUCUCUGUGGGGAUCAAUUCC
Molecule: long non-coding RNA, 721 nt
Filed under: Setaria viridis
Lineage: Eukaryota; Viridiplantae; Streptophyta; Magnoliopsida; Poales; Poaceae
Description: long non-coding RNA (SVIR_LNC000843)
Source: RNAcentral